This 107-nucleotide microRNA precursor is filed under the name Cucumis melo (muskmelon). RNAcentral describes it as "miR156f stem-loop (cme-MIR156f)". Its record names the gene cme-MIR156f. Lineage: Eukaryota; Viridiplantae; Streptophyta; Magnoliopsida; Cucurbitales; Cucurbitaceae. The record is from miRBase by way of RNAcentral.
UAUAUUGUUGCUGACAGAAGAUAGAGAGCACAGAUGGGGAGAUGCAUAAAUUCAAGGGAAAGCUUCUCUUUCAUUUGUGCUCUCUAUUCUUCUGUCAUCACCUUUCA